This 644-nucleotide ribosomal RNA is filed under the name uncultured bacterium. RNAcentral describes it as "bacterial SSU rRNA". It matches the Rfam family "Bacterial small subunit ribosomal RNA", at positions 54 to 745 of the family's 1533-position model. The record is from RNAcentral.
CAUGCAAGUCGAACGAACCUUCGGGUUAGUGGCGGACGGGUGAGUAACGCGUGAGAAUCUGCCCUCAGGAGGGGGAUAACAGUUGGAAACGACUGCUAGUACCCCAUAUGCCGAGAGGUGAAAUGAAUUUCGCCUGGGGAUGAGCUCGCGUCUGAUUAGCUUGUUGGUGGGGUAAUAGCCUACCAAGGCUUCGAUCAGUAGCUGGUCUGAGAGGACGAUCAGCCACACUGGGACUGAGACACGGCCCAGACUCCUACGGGAGGCAGCAGUGGGGAAUUUUCCGCAAUGGGCGAAAGCCUGACGGAGCAACGCCGCGUGAGGGAUGGAGGCCUUUGGGCUGUAAACCUCUUUUCUCAAGGAAGAAGAUCUGACGGUACUUGAGGAAUAAGCCACGGCUAAUUCCGUGCCAGCAGCCGCGGUAAUACGGGAGUGGCAAGCGUUAUCCGGAAUUAUUGGGCGUAAAGCGUCCGCAGGCGGCCGUUUAAGUCUGUUGUUAAAUCGUGGAGCUCAACUCCAUCACGGCAAUGGAAACUGUUCGGCUUGAGUAUGGUAGGGGCAGAGGGAAUUUCCGGUGUAGCGGUGAAAUGCGUAGAUAUCGGGAAGAACACCAGUGGCGAAAGCGCUCUGCUGGGCCAUUACUGACG